Molecule: ribosomal RNA, 253 nt
Filed under: uncultured bacterium
Lineage: Bacteria
Description: partial 16S ribosomal RNA
Rfam family: Bacterial small subunit ribosomal RNA
Source: RNAcentral
GACGAACCGUCCAAACGUUGUUCGGAAUCACUGGGCUUAAAGGGCGCGUAGGCGGAUGCUCAAGUCGGUGGUGAAAUCUUUCGGCUCAACCGGAAAAGUGCCGCCGAUACUGGGGAUCUCGAGGGAGGUAGGGGUCGAGGGAACUUCCGGUGGAGCGGUGAAAUGCGUAGAUAUCGGAAGGAACGCCGGUGGCGAAAGCGCUCGACUGGACCUCUUCUGACGCUGAGGCGCGAAAGCCAGGGGAGCAAACGGG